Molecule: ribosomal RNA, 410 nt
Filed under: uncultured bacterium
Lineage: Bacteria
Description: partial 16S ribosomal RNA
Source: RNAcentral
UUGUACAAGGCCCGGGAACGUAUUCACCGUAGCAUUCUGAUCUACGAUUACUAGCGAUUCCGACUUCAUGGAGUCGAGUUGCAGACUCCAAUCCGGACUACGACGCACUUUAUGAGGUCCGCUUGCUCUCGCGAGGUCGCUUCUCUUUGUAUGCGCCAUUGUAGCACGUGUGUAGCCCUACUCGUAAGGGCCAUGAUGACUUGACGUCAUCCCCACCUUCCUCCAGUUUAUCACUGGCAGUCUCCUUUGAGUUCCCGGCCGAACCGCUGGCAACAAAGGAUAAGGGUUGCGCUCGUUGCGGGACUUAACCCAACAUUUCACAACACGAGCUGACGACAGCCAUGCAGCACCUGUCUCAGAGUUCCCGAAGGCACCAAUCCAUCUCUGGAAAGUUCUCUGNAGGNGAUAAA